GGUGCAUAAAGUAGGGAGAGAUUUGAUUCCCAGGACUGCCCUAUGUUCUUCUGUGGGUGCUCGGCCGUGUCCCUCACCCCACAGUACAGGCUGGCUCCUGCUGCACAAACACGGCCGAGCGAGAUAAGCGCUGUGUGCACAGCACUCAGCCAGGAAUUCAGGGCCUGUGCUGGCCCCAGCUGCCAUCCUGAUGGCAAACCACAUCGGGUUCCCUCCCUGCACCCCUCUGUGCCAUGGGGGAAGCUUCUCAGCCUGCUUUGCUUGGGCACCAUGGGGAUGCUGCAGCAGGGAUGCUGCCAGGGCACACCAUGCAGAUGCUGCACACAGAUGUGCAGGGGUGCUGCAGGAGAGAAGCUGCAUCAGCUACAGCAGGGAUUUGCAGAAAUGUUGCAGCAGGGACACAGAGAUGUGCAGGGAUGCACAGGGAUGCAAUGCAGCAGGGAUGAGCAUGAAUUUACAGGGAUGCUGCUGCAGGGAUGCACAGGGGUGCUGCAGAGUGGUUGCACAGAGAUACACAGGGAUUCACAGGGACUCUGUAGUACGGAUGUACAGGGAUGUACAGGGAUGUACAGGGAUGCACAGGGAUUCUCAGGGAUACUGUAAUAGGGAUGCGCAGGGAUGCACAGAGAUGCACUGCAGCAGGAAUGCUACAGCAGAAGGGCACGAGGACGCUGCACCAAGCCGCUGUCCUUGGUGGUGUGAGGCAUGCUGGAUAUGGAAACUAUUCCCUCCCAAAAAGAGCACGAGGUCUGUGGCGAGGGAUCUGCCAGGAUGUGUUUGCUCUGUGACACGGGUGCACGUAGCAGGGAUGAGUCAUGGCGGCGGUGCAGCUUGGCAAACACGGAGCCCGGCUCGCCCAUCAGGGGCAGAAAUGCCUCCUCUUCGCCCCAGCAGAGGGCUCGUGGUAAUAAAGGCAGGUUUUAAAAUUAAUAUAGUGAUACCUCGGAGAUUAAUCUUGCUGAUAAGCAGACAGCAGCAGGACUGAAUAGGCCCGUGGUUCAAACAAAGGUUUCUG
RNAcentral lists this long non-coding RNA (1015 nucleotides) under Numida meleagris (helmeted guineafowl). Its description in RNAcentral is "lncRNA (ENSNMEG00000012111.1)". The record is from RNAcentral. Lineage: Eukaryota; Metazoa; Chordata; Aves; Galliformes; Numididae.